CUGCGAAUGGCUCAUUAUAUAAGUUAUCGUUUAUUUGAUAGUACCUUACUACUUGGAUAACCGUGGUAAUUCUAGAGCUAAUACAUGCCAAAAAUCCCGACUUCGGAAGGGAUGUAUUUAUUAGAUUAAAAACCAAUGCCCUCUGGGCUCCUUGGUGAUUCAUGAUAACUCUUCGAAUCGCACGGCCUUGCGCCGGCGAUGGUUCAUUCAAAUUUCUUCCCUAUCAACUUUCGAUGUUUGGGUCUUGGCCAAACAUGGUCGCAACGGGUAACGGAGGGUUAGGGCUCGACCCCGGAGAAGGAGCCUGAGAAACGGCUACUACAUCCAAGGAAGGCAGCAGGCGCGCAAAUUACCCAAUCCCGAUUCGGGGAGGUAGUGACAAUAAAUACUGAUACAGGGCUCUUUUGGGUCUUGUAAUUGGAAUGAGUACAAUUUAAAUCCCUUAACGAGGAACAAUUGGAGGGCAAGUCUGGUGCCAGCAGCCGCGGUAAUUCCAGCUCCAAUAGCGUAUAUUAAAGUUGUUGUGGUUAAAAAGCUCGUAGUUGAACCUUGGGCCUGGCUGGCCGGUCCGCCUCACCGCGUGUACUGGUCCGGCCGGGCCUUUCCCUCUGUGGAACCCCAUGCCCUUCACUGGGUGUGGCGGGGAAACAGGACUUUUACUUUGAAAAAAUUAGAGUGCUCCAGGCAGGCCUAUGCUCGAAUACAUUAGCAUGGAAUAAUGAAAUAGGACGCGUGGUUCUAUUUUGUUGGUUUCUAGGACCGCCGUAAUGAUUAAUAGGGACAGUCGGGGGCAUCAGUAUUCAAUUGUCAGAGGUGAAAUUCUUGGAUUUAUUGAAGACUAACUACUGCGAAAGCAUUUGCCAAGGAUGUUUUCAUUAAUCAGGAACGAAAGUUAGGGGAUCGAAGACGAUCAGAUACCGUCGUAGUCUUAACCAUAAACUAUGCCGACUAGGGAUCGGACGAUGUUAUUUUUUGACGCGUUCGGCACCUUACGAGAAAUCAAAGUGCU
Molecule: ribosomal RNA, 1009 nt
Filed under: Cordyceps ninchukispora
Lineage: Eukaryota; Fungi; Ascomycota; Sordariomycetes; Hypocreales; Cordycipitaceae
Description: SSU rRNA
Rfam family: Eukaryotic small subunit ribosomal RNA
Source: RNAcentral